This 234-nucleotide long non-coding RNA is filed under the name Phoenix dactylifera (date palm). Its description in RNAcentral is "long non-coding RNA (PDAC_LNC013605)". The record is from RNAcentral. Lineage: Eukaryota; Viridiplantae; Streptophyta; Magnoliopsida; Arecales; Arecaceae.
GAGCGUGACCAAGACAAGAAGUCACUUGGAUGUCUAUCCACUCGUCAGUGACUUGCUUGAUGUUGCAGUAGUGUGACUGGUCCUUUGACCUGCGGUGCUUCGGCUAUUCACAGUGAGAUUAUUGUAGUUUGACUGCCCAUAUACAUGGUCUCUAGUCAUAUGGAUCCUUGUUGUGUAGAUUGGCUGCAGUAGGUUCACUGUAGGAGUAGGGUAUGCACUUACAUGGAAUCUAUC